UAGGAGAAGAAAAUUAAAUUGUAGAGGAAGCCAAUCACACCAUUACUUUCUCAACUGAAAACAUGCUAUUAAUUAGAAGAUCUCUUGAAAUCCAAAAAGUGUGCCGCAUAAAUUGCAUGCAUUGGUCCUUCAAUUAAUAGAUGUGGUCUAAUUAAUAUGCAUGCAACUAGUACUACUCUAAUGUGUCUUAGUGUUUUGGGAUUAUUUGAUUUUCGUAAGAUGCCUAAUGCACCGAGACGGAGGAAGUAGUUUAUGUUACUAUGCACUAUGAAGGUAUUAUCAUACAAUAUGUUACUCUCCAUUAUGAGCAGCCUUACUCAACACAGAUGAAGUACCAGCAUCACAGUGCAUCCGUGCAGGAGUUCCGCAUCGGUUGCCAGGAGCUGCGUCGUGUGACUCCUGCCUCGCCUUUAUCGGCCGCCAACCGCAUCGCUAGCCGUGGGCGGCCGGUGAGGGCUGCGCCAUGGCGAGAGCCGCAUCGCGUGCCACGCCACGCACGGGAGUCGUCGCGGGUCGGUCAACAGCGUAGCCAUGGUUGUUGGCCACCGUGAGCCAACGGGCGCGGGCAGUGACGGGCCGAGGGUCGAGGAGCGUCGGGUGCUCUGUCGAGAGAGGAGGUCGAGAGCGCCGCUGAGCCGCGUGCUAGAUGCAGCGCUGACACUGCUUGCUAGAUGCCGUCACUUGGAAGGCGAUGCAUCGCGCCAUGCGCCACCGAGUUGGGCUGGAGGGAGCUGCCGUUGCGUCGCCGCACUGCAUCUUAUAGCCCCAGCCACUCAUCCGCGUCGCCGUGUACGCUCUUGCCGUUGGGUCUCGUGGAAGAGCUGAGAAGCCGAGGCGCAUGGACGUGGGAGCCGCUGAUGGAUGAUUGAUCCAGCACAAGAAAAAUUGAAGAGCGCAUGGUACCUUUUUCCUCUUUGCAUCACUAGAUCGAUGGGAUUCUCCUUCUGUGCCUUUUCUCGCGGGCCUCGUUCCUGGUAAGGCAUGUGUUGUGCAUGCAUGCACAAAUCUGAAAAAGCAACCUUAUUUCUUCCCAGAUCGAGAGAAUGCGUCGGACUGAGAGGUCCUCGCAACGCGUCGGCUGGAGGCCUGCGCCGUCCUGCAGGGUGAGGCGUGGAUUGCCUUCGGUUCCAGCGCUACUCGCCGAGUCGCCGGCGAUUCAAAUUCCUUCGUUCGCCUCAUAUGGCUGACGAAUUCCGUCCAAUUCCUGUUUGGAGUAGCGAUGACAUCUCCUGCGCAGAGGUAACCAAGUUACUAGAUCUUUGAUCUUAAUCAUAAAAGACAACCAAGUUGGCUUUCCAUUGAUUGAUCUCGUGCUCGGAUGCGGGCUUUCCAUUGAUUGAUUUCGUGCUCGGAUGCGUGCUCUUCUUUGUGAUCUUGGGCAUGCUCUCACGACCAUCGUGAACGCCG
This 1407-nucleotide long non-coding RNA is filed under the name Hordeum vulgare. RNAcentral's name for it is "long non-coding RNA (HVUL_LNC011009)". Lineage: Eukaryota; Viridiplantae; Streptophyta; Magnoliopsida; Poales; Poaceae. The record is from RNAcentral.